AGUAGCUUAAUUGUUAAAGCUUUGGAUUCUUACUCGUGGGAUGUUGUUUGACUUCUUCCGGAG
Molecule: transfer RNA, 63 nt
Filed under: Orthosplanchnus fraterculus
Lineage: Eukaryota; Metazoa; Platyhelminthes; Trematoda; Plagiorchiida; Brachycladiidae
Description: tRNA-Lys
Source: RNAcentral